AUCCGUAAGCAUGGGCACCCUCAUAGAUAUCUGCAUAGCUUCUUUGUUAUAUUAUAUAGGUUAUGCAAACAAAUAGUUGGUCAAACCCUAACAGUACUGAUCUCUGUGGUGUGUAAGGUACUGAUCUCUGUGGUGUGUAAGGUACUGAUCUCUGUGGUGUGUAGGGUACUGAUCUCUGUGGUGUGUAGGGUACUGAUCUCUGUGGUGUGUAGGGUACUGAUCUCUGUGGUGUGUAGGGUACUGAUCUCUGUGGUGUGUAGGGUACUGAUCUCUGUGGUGUGUAGGGUACUGAUCUCUGUGGUGUGUAGGGUACUGAUCUCUGUGGUGUGUAAGGUACUGAUCUCUGUGGUGUGUAGGGUACUGAUCUCUGUGGUGUGUAAGGUACUGCUCUCUGUGGUGUGUAGGGUACUGAUCUCUGUGGUGUGUAGGGUACUGAUCUCUGUGGUGUGUAGGGUACUGAUCUUUAUUGUGUUCACAGGCCCGUCUUCCACUGAAGUGAAGUCUGGUCCGAUGACAUACUGCUGUGGGGAAAUCUCUCUGGGUAAGAGCCCAUACCCUAAUGUUGUGGUGGACACCCGAUUCUACAAGAUUAUCAAAGAUGGGAUGCCACAUGUCUAAUGACCAGACUUUGCCCUUCCAGAGAUGUAAGUACAUUCCGUACCGAUCACUGUACCUGUACACAGCCAAUCUGUAAAUAGCACACCCAACUACCUCAUCCCCAUAUAUUUUUUUGUUUGUUGCUCUUUUGCACCCCAGUAUCUCUACUUGCACAUCAAAAUUGUAAUUAUUGUAAAUUGUAAUUAUUUUGCCACUAUGGUCUAUUUAUUGCCUUACCUCCCUAAUCUUACUACAUUUGCACCCACUGUACAUAUAUUUUUAUUUUGUGUUAUUGACUGUACGUUUGUUUAUCCCAUCUGUAACUCUGUGUUGUUGUUUUUGUCGCACUACUUUGCUUUAUCUUGGCCAGGUCGCAGUUAGGCACACAUUUAAUUCCCUUACACGACAGUACGUACAUGGUAAUUGUUAUGCAUUAAACAUAGACAAUAAAGAUAGACACCCAAUGUAAGAAAAACAUCUGGAGUACCAGUAGGAAUUAAUAUACAAGUCAUUGGACUGCAAUCGAAACUAGCAUAUUAGCACAUUCAUUUUGCAGGUUAAAUCCUAACAUGUUUUCUUGUUUGAUUACCUUCUUUAUCCAGGGUAAGAACUUGGAAAUCUGACUAUAGACAUUGAGCAUGUACAGAUAGUCACAGUUUCCAUCUGAGUUGAAGGAGAUGACACCCACAGCCUUUCCAUUGAACACCAAAGGACCACUAGAAUCCCCCUGUGGGAGAGAGGAUGAUCACCUUAUAGGUUACAUACCAGUCAAAAUUGUCCAAUUUAGGUGCAUGUAUGAUGUAGGCUACACAUGUAUGAACAUCACAUUGUCUUCCUACAAUUUUCUAAGUCAAUAUUAUAAUUUUUAGGAGUAAACAAAACUGACAAAAUCCAUUCUUGGUCAGGUAUUCACCUGUACAGAUGACCUUGGGAUGAAGUUUACGCCACUGCUUCUGGCAGACCUUCAGGACAAUGGUAGUCAUGUCCACCACUUGAAGGUCAUCAACAAGGCACUUGGUGUUGGGUUUGAUGACUUGGUCCUAGAAUUUUCCCUGUUUUCACAGCUUUGCUUGAUUUAGACUUCUUAGACAGCUUGAAACACAUGUCUUGGCCAAAAUGUGGGAAUCUGUAGUAUUAGCAAUUACUGAUGAAUGCAUAUGACCUAUUAGGAUGUACACUUAGUAAUAGUGUAAAUAAUAAUAUAAAGACAAAUUCUAUUGAUACAAAUAUGUCACUAUAGGCCUACCUUCAGAAUCAUGAUGUCAUUACCAGUGUCAACAUCUUCAUAGUUGGUUGCAUUUGUGUUCCACAUUGUAUUUGACAGAGAUGGUACUGCAGUGUAUUCUUCUGUGCUUUUCUCCCCAUUGAUGAGAUAGUAAAAGUGGCCACAAUGAACUAAACGGUAAGGUAAUAGGCAUUUGUUCAGAUCUCAUUGAUGUGUGCCCAUCAAGUUCAGGAGAGACAAUUACCCAGAUAGGUCAGGAGAACAGUAGUUUGUGGUGUGCAUCUUGCUUGGAGGACUUGUCAGGAAUACCUGAUUCACUCUGGGCCCCUUUAUAUACACAAGAUGGUCGAUCUGAGGACAGCUGUGGUUUCACUUCUAUGAUGACUAUCUAUGAUGUUUCUAUCGAUCCUUUUAUGGUUUUCCUGUAAACCCAAGGUACGUGUUUUCUGCAUUUACCAUAACUCUGUCGGCCCUUCUGCAUGUGAAUAGGUGGAGGGUUAUCUUGGGGACCUUAUAUGUGACACACUGAUUAUUAGUGUCACUUUAAUGUUGCCAAUCCUCCUUGUUGUCGUGUUGAUGACCUUAUAUUGUUUGUAUAUGAUUGGCUGGUGGUAAUUUAGAGUGUAUGAACACUCAUAGUUGCAUGCAGUGCUGCAUUUACCUCAUAUAGGUCAACUCAUCUCCCUCUCCCUCAUGCAAGAGCCUUGUCUUCUCCUGGUCGAUGCUCUCCUGUGUUACCAUGCCAACUAUGAACAACCGGUGGUUUACAAAGGCUGACGACAUUCUUGAUGCUUUGAAAGACACAGUGACAGUCAUAAGACCUUGCCACUCUCAGUGGUCCUGCACUAGAGGAAGAGGGGGGGCAUAUCUUCUUACAAUGAAAAACUAGUUGAGAUAGGCCUACACAGUGCACCUAUUCAGAACAACAUGUGUACUACGAAAGGGCCAUACCUUUCUAGUCACUGUAGAAACAACAGUAAAUCACAUUUUAAAAUGUAAUGUUAGUUUAAGAGGAGGUUGUGUUGUGGUCAUUGAAAUUGAACCUAUUUUGGGGUGUAUCUGUACUUUACUAUUUAUAUUUUUGACAACUUUUACUUCACUACAUCCCUAAAUGUAGUGUACAUUUUACUCCAUACAUUUUCCCUGACUCCCCCCAAGUACUUGUUACAUUUCAAAUGCUUAGCAGGACAGGAAAAUGGUCCAAUUCACACACUUAUCAAGAGAACAUUCCAGGUCUUCCCUACUGCCUCUGAUCUGGCACUAAACACAAAUACUUUGUUUGGCACUAAAGUAAUACUGCAAAAAAUGUGGCAAAGCAAUUCACUUUCUGUCCUGAAUACUAAAUCCUAGACGAAAACCUGGUUCAGUCAGCUUUCCACCAGACACUGGGAAAUGAAUUCACCUUUCAUGAGGAAUAUAACCUAAAACACAAGGUCAAAUCUACGCUGGAGUUACCAAGAAGACAGUGAAUGUGGCCGAGCUACAGUUUUGACUUAAAUCUACUUUAAAAUCUUAGCAAGACCUGAAAAUGGUUGUCUAGCAAUGAUCAACAACCAAUUUGACAGAGCUUGAAGAAUUUUGAAAAGAAUAAUGGGCAAAUGUUGCACAAUCCAGGUGUGGAAACCUCUUAGAGACCCAGAAAAACUCACAGCUGUAAUCGCUGCCAAAGGUGCUUCUACAAACUAUUGACUCAGGGGUGUGAAUACUUAUGUAAAUUAGAUAUUUCUGUAUUUCAUUUUCAAUACACAUUUCUAAAACAUGUUUUCCCUUUGGGAUUAUGGGAUAUUGUGUGUAGAUGGGUGAGGGGAAAAAAAUAUUCAAUCCAUUUUGAAUUCAGGCUGUAACAACAAAAUGUGAAAUAAGUCAAGGGGUAUGAAUACUUUCUGAAGACAGACAGACACCACAGUGAUCACCAUGUCCUCUGGUCUGAAAACAGAAGCUGUGUUGUGGUUUCAAAGCAUUGUGGCAGCUUCAUGAAACGAGCUACUCUGUCUUGACCACAAGUUUCCAUGUGUGGUGGUGUUUGGUGAUGACAGGUGAAGAUACGAGAAGAGCUAGCUGUCUGAAGAUGUAUACUCAAAUCAAAUGAACGUUUAUUGGUCAGUUUAGCAGAUGUUAUAGCGCGUGCAGCGAAAUGCUUAUGUUACUAGCUCCUAACAAUACAAUAAAAUGUCAAACAAGUACACAAAUUGAAUAAAAUAAAAACACAACAAAUCAAUAAAUUUCAGAAUGAAUCCAAUUAACACUCCAAAUAGCACUGUAACAGUAAUCCAAAUGCAAAUGACUUGAGGCUGUUACUGGAAAUCAACUAAAAUACAAACAUACACGUGCAUGCAUAUACACUCUAUCCUACUCGAGCAUACACACACACACACAGACACGGUACAGAGCUCAUUGAAGAACGGACAGGCUUUGUUUGAUACAAUGAUAUAUAUUUAUUAGUCA
RNAcentral lists this long non-coding RNA (4267 nucleotides) under Salmo trutta (river trout). RNAcentral describes it as "lncRNA (ENSSTUG00000045315.1)". Lineage: Eukaryota; Metazoa; Chordata; Actinopteri; Salmoniformes; Salmonidae. The record is from RNAcentral.